UCAAGUGACUAAGUGCAUGUGGCGGAUGCCUUGGCGAUCACAGGCGAAGAAAGACGCGGCAGCCUGCGAAAAGCUGCGGGGAGCUGGCAAACGAGCUUUGAUCCGCAGAUAUCUGAAUGGGGGAACCCACACCGCAAGGUGUAUCCGUGACUGAAUACAUAGGUUACGGAGGCGAACGAGGAGAACUGAAACAUCUAAGUAUCCUCAGGAAAAGAAAUCAACCGAGAUUCCGGCAGUAGCGGCGAGCGAACCCGGAGGAGCCUAGCUUUUGAUAGUACGAACUUUAGCCGAAAGGUCCUGGAAAGGCCUGCUAUAGUGGGUGAUAGCCCCGUAGGCGAAAGAGUUCGUAUGGUACUAAGGAAGCGAGAAGUAGAGCGGGACACGUGGAAUCCUGUUCGAAGAUGGGGGGACCAUCCUCCAAGGCUAAAUACUCGUGAUCGACCGAUAGUGAACCAGUACCGUGAGGGAAAGGCGAAAAGAACCCCGGGAGGGGAGUGAAAUAGAACCUGAAACCGCAUGCAUACAAACAGUAGGAGCCUCGUCAGAGGUGACUGCGUACCUUUUGCAUAAUGGGUCAGCGACUUACAUUCUGUGGCGAGCUUAACCGAAUAGGGGAGGCGCAGCGAAAGCGAGUUCGAAAUGAGCGUCCAGUCGCAGGGUGUAGACCCGAAACCAGAUGAGCUAUCCAUGGCCAGGUUGAAGGUGUGGUAACACACACUGGAGGACCGAACCGACUAGUGUUGCAAAAUUAGCGGAUGAGCUGUGGAUAGGGGUGAAAGGCCAAACAAAUCUGGAGAUAGCUGGUUCUCCCCGAAAACUAUUGAGGUAGUGCCUCGUGUGUCGCUCCAGGGGGUAGAGCACUGUUUUGGCUAGGGGGACAUGGAGUCUUACCAAACCAAGGCAAACUCCGAAUACCUGGAAGCGUAAGCACGGGAGACAGAGCACCGGGUGCUAACGUCCGGACUCAAAAGGGAAACAACCCAGACCGCCGGCUAAGGUCCCCAAUAACAGCUAAGUGGAAAACGAAGUGGAAAGGCCGUGACAACCAGGAAGUUGGCUUAGAAGCAGCCAUCCUUCAAAGAAAGCGUAAUAGCUCACUGGUCGAGUCCUUCUGCGCGGAAGAUGUAACGGGGCUAAGCUGUUAACCGAAGCCGCGGAUGCACUGAUUAUUCAGUGCGUGGUAGGGGAGCGUUCUGUAAGUCUGCGAAGGCGGUUCGAGAGGACUGCUGGAGAUAUCAGAAGUGCGAAUGCUGACAUGAGUAACGUUAAAGCAGGUGAAAAGCCUGCUCGCCGUAAGCCCAAGGAUUCCUGCUCUACGUUCAUCGGAGCAGGGUGAGUCGGCUCCUAAGGUCAGGCCGAAAGGCGUAGCCGAUGGGAAUCAGGUUAAUAUUCCUGAACCUGCGUCAGAUGCGAUGGGGGGACGGAGCAUGAAAGAUCAUCCGGGUGUUGGAUGUCCCGGUUGACGAGCGUAGGAGGUCUGCAGGCAAAUCCGCAGACGCAUCUCCAAGGCGAAGUCACGUGCCGCCACGGCGGCGAAGUGAUCGGAAGUGCUUCCAAGAAAAGCCUCUAAGCACCAGUCUGGCGCGGACCGUACCGCAAACCGACACUGGUGGGCGAGCUGAAUAUGCUCAGGCGCUUGAGAGAACUCGGGAGAAGGAACUCGGCAAAUUGACACCGUAACUUCGGAAGAAGGUGUGCCGUAGUAGCGUGAGAGGAGAGACACCUUGAGCGUGAAUCGGUCUCAGAGAAUAGGUGGCUGCGACUGUUUAUUAAAAACACAGCACUCUGCAAAGUCGAAAGACGACGUAUAGGGUGUGAUGCCUGCCCGGUGCUGGAAGAUUAAUUGAUGGUGUAAUCGAAAGAGAAGCUCCUGAUCGAAGCCCCAGUAAACGGCGGCCGUAACUAUAACGGUCCUAAGGUAGCGAAAUUCCUUGUCGGGUAAGUUCCGACCUGCACGAAUGGCAUAACGAUGGCCACACUGUCUCCUCCCGAGACUCAGUGAAGUUGAAAUGUUUGUGAUGAUGCAAUCUACCCGCGGCUAGACGGAAAGACCCCAUGAACCUUUACUGCAGCUUUGCAUUGAACUGUGAACCGAUUUGUGUAGGAUAGGUGGGAGGCAGAGAAGAGGCCACGCCAGUGGUCUUGGAGCCGGCCUUGAAAUACCACCCUGAUUUGUUUGCGGUUCUAACCACGGACAGUGAUCCUGUCUUGGGACCGUGCAUGGUAGGCAGUUUGACUGGGGCGGUCUCCUCCUAAAGGGUAACGGAGGAGUACGAAGGUACGCUAGGUACGGUCGGAAAUCGUGCUGAUAGUGCAAUGGCAAAAGCGUGCUUGACUGCGAGAGCAACAACUCGAGCAGAUGCGAAAGCAGGUCAUAGUGAUCCGGUGGCUCUGAAUGGAAGGGCCAUCGCUCAACGGAUAAAAGGUACUCUGGGGAUAACAGGCUGAUACCGCCCAAGAGUUCAUAUCGAC
Molecule: ribosomal RNA, 2472 nt
Filed under: human gut metagenome
Description: bacterial LSU rRNA
Rfam family: Bacterial large subunit ribosomal RNA
Source: RNAcentral